This 301-nucleotide ribosomal RNA is filed under the name uncultured bacterium. RNAcentral describes it as "partial 16S ribosomal RNA". It matches the Rfam family "Bacterial small subunit ribosomal RNA", at positions 509 to 809 of the family's 1533-position model. The record is from RNAcentral.
CAGCCGCCGCGGGAAUACGUAGGGUGCGAGCGUUAAUCGGAAUUACUGGGCGUAAAGCGUGCGCAGGCGGUUCGUUAAGACAGAUGUGAAAUCCCCGGGCUUAACCUGGGAACUGCGUUUGUGACUGGCGAGCUAGAGUAUGGCAGAGGGGGGUAGAAUUCCACGUGUAGCAGUGAAAUGCGUAGAGAUGUGGAGGAAUACCGAUGGCGAAGGCAGCCCCCUGGGCCAAUACUGACGCUCAUGCACGAAAGCGUGGGGAGCAAACAGGAUUAGAUACCCGAGUAGUCCCUGUCUCUUAUAA